RNAcentral lists this ribosomal RNA (212 nucleotides) under uncultured Saprospiraceae bacterium. RNAcentral's name for it is "partial 16S ribosomal RNA". It matches the Rfam family "Bacterial small subunit ribosomal RNA", at positions 325 to 532 of the family's 1533-position model. The record is from RNAcentral. Lineage: Bacteria; Pseudomonadati; Bacteroidota; Saprospiria; Saprospirales; Saprospiraceae.
UCUAGAGAUUACUCCUACGGGAGGCAGCAGUAAGGAAUAUUGGUCAAUGCCCGGAAGGGUGAACCAGCCAUGCCGCGUGAAGGAUGACUGCCCUCUGGGUUGUAAACUUCUUUUGGAUGGGACGAAAAAACGGGAUUUAUCCUGGACUGACGGUACCAUCAGAAUAAGCACCGGCUAACUCCGUGCCAGCAGCCGCGGUAAUAAUCGUCGAC